CGCCUGUUUAUCAAAAACAUUUCCACUUAUAUAAUGAGAGGUAUAACCUGCCCGGUGUAAAAUCAACGGCUGCGGUAUAUUGACUGUGCUAAGGUAGCAUAAUAAUUUGUUAUUUAAUUAGUAGCUGGAAUGAAAGGUUGAACUGAUUUUUUAGUUUGUUUAAUAAAUUAAAAAAUUAAAGUUAAGGUAAAAAUUCUUUAAUCUUCUAGGGGACGAUAAGACCCUAGAAGCUUAAUAAAUAUAAAUGUUUUUUAGUCGGUAAAAAAAUUUUUAUUUUACUGGGGCGGUAUUAGUAUUUAAACUAUAUUACAAAUAGUAGAUCCUUUAGAUAAAGAAAGAAUGGAAAAGUUACUCUAGGGAUAACAGUGCAAUAUUUUUGGAGAGAUCUUAUCGAUAAAUAUGUUUGCAACCUCGAUGUUGAAUUAGGAUAUCUACAUGGAGCAGAAAAUAUAGUAGAGGGUUUGUUCAACCUUUAAAAUUCUACAUGAUCUGAGUUCAAACCGGAG
Molecule: ribosomal RNA, 506 nt
Filed under: Gammarus oceanicus
Lineage: Eukaryota; Metazoa; Arthropoda; Malacostraca; Amphipoda; Gammaridae
Description: partial 16S ribosomal RNA
Rfam family: Bacterial large subunit ribosomal RNA
Source: RNAcentral